UGAUCAGGAGCCACCUGUCCAUGCCCCAAGACCGGAAAGGCAGCAGCAACCACCGGGAGCACAGGGCUGUCCUCGGUGUGCUCUGCUGCGGAGAGACAGAGACCAACUUAAAGAGCGCCUAGCGGUCGUGGAGAGCGUCCUUAAAAAGUUGCACGCCCUUUGAAGUGAGAGAGUUGAACCCAGCAUCUUCCUACGAGACCGACAGCUGGUACCUCUGGAGCCGGCGAGCUGUGACCAGCCUGGUUCCCUUUGUUUCUUCUUCAGCCACGGCUUCUUCUAGCCCCCUGCUCUUGCCCUCACCUCACCCGA
Lemur catta (Ring-tailed lemur) is the source of this 309-nucleotide long non-coding RNA. RefSeq lists it as uncharacterized. The record is from RefSeq and is a predicted model, not a curated record. Lineage: Eukaryota; Metazoa; Chordata; Mammalia; Primates; Lemuridae. The transcript has 4 exons.